RNAcentral lists this unclassified non-coding RNA (213 nucleotides) under Hevea brasiliensis (rubber tree). Lineage: Eukaryota; Viridiplantae; Streptophyta; Magnoliopsida; Malpighiales; Euphorbiaceae. The record is from RNAcentral.
UAAAUGGGCCAGGCCUCAUGAACGAUAAGCUCUAAAAAUUACCCGUUACAAACUGACACCCUCCAACGGUCAAAAGAAAACGGGAAUUCAAAAUUUUAAAUAAACAGUAUAGUUUUCAACGCGAUUCGCCUCCCAACGGUCAUUUGAUCAAUUCACUUUCUCUGAUCAUUCUAUCCAAACUACUCUCUCCCUCCAAAAGAUCAACUAGAAGAU